CGCAUCUGUGCAUGCAGCAUAUCAAUAAGCGGAGGAAAAGAAACUAACAAGGAUUCCCUCAGUAACGGCGAGUGAAGCGGGAAGAGCUCAAAUUUGAAAUCUUCAAGGUUUUACCUUGACGAAUUGUAGUUUAAAGAAGUGUUUUCUGCUGAAGUUUUGGUAAAAGUUCUUUGGAAUAGGACAUCACAGAGGGUGAGAAUCCCGUCUAUGAUUGCGAUUUGUAGCUUUGUGAUACACUUUCAAAGAGUCGGAUUGUUUGGGAAUGCAGUCCAAAAUGGGUGGUAAAUUUCAUCUAAAGCUAAAUAUUGGCGAGAGACCGAUAGCGAACAAGUACCGUGAGGGAAAGAUGAAAAGAACUUUGAAAAGAGAGUUAAACAGUACGUGAAAUUGUCAAAAGGGAAGCGUUUGACACCAGUGUUGUUUUCCUCGAAAAUCAAUUAAAAAUGGCUCGAUUUUGUAUUGCUUGAGACCUUAAAAGCUCACUGUACAUUUUUCGUGUCUUUUUUAAUGCACUUUUCGUUUAACAAGUCAACAUCAGUUUCUUUUGUUGUAAAAGGGUCAUUGGAAGGUGGCUUUCUUUUCGGAGAAAGUGUUUAUAGCCUUUGGCCUCUGCAAUCGAAGAGACUGAGGUCUGCAGCGUAGACUCUUCGGGGUUAGAUACAUUUGUGCUAAGUUAUAGCUUUUUAUAGACAACUUGUUGACUAUAAUUAGUCUUGUAGCUUACUCGCUUAUGCUAUUUUACCUACGCUUAGGAUGUUGAAGUCAUCGUAUCGCGC
RNAcentral lists this ribosomal RNA (776 nucleotides) under uncultured Neocallimastigales. RNAcentral describes it as "partial large subunit ribosomal RNA". It matches the Rfam family "Eukaryotic large subunit ribosomal RNA", at positions 26 to 645 of the family's 3401-position model. The record is from RNAcentral. Lineage: Eukaryota; Fungi; Neocallimastigomycota; Neocallimastigomycetes; Neocallimastigales.